RNAcentral lists this ribosomal RNA (497 nucleotides) under uncultured bacterium. Its description in RNAcentral is "partial 16S ribosomal RNA". It matches the Rfam family "Bacterial small subunit ribosomal RNA", at positions 28 to 507 of the family's 1533-position model. The record is from RNAcentral.
GACGAACGCUGGCGGCGUGCCUAAUACAUGCAAGUUGAGCGAUGAAGAUUGGUGCUUGCACCAAUUUGAAGAGCAGCGAACGGGUGAGUAACGCGUGGGGAAUCUGCCUUUGAGCGGGGGACAACAUUUGGAAACGAAUGCUAAUACCGCAUAACAACUUUAAACAUAAGUUUUAAGCUUGAAAGAUGCAAUUGCAUCACUCAAAGAUGAUCCCGCGUUGUAUUAGCUAGUUGGUGAGGUAAAGGCUCACCAAGGCGAGGAUACAUAGCCGACCUGGGAGGGUGAUAGGCGACAUGGGGAGGGGGACACGGCCCAAACGCCUGCGGGAGGGAGCAGUAGGGAACCGUCGGCAAUGGAGGAAAGUCUGACCGAGCGAGGCCGCGUGAGUGAAGAAGGUGCUCGGAUCGGAAAACUCUGUUGGUAGAGAAGAACGUUGGUGGGAGUGGAAAGCUCAUCAAGUGACGGUAACUACACAGAAAGGGACGGCUAACUACGUG